GAUGAACGCUAGCGGGAGGCCUAACACAUGCAAGCCGAGCGGUAUUUGUCUUUCGGGACAGAGAGAGCGGCGUACGGGUGCGGAACACGUGUGCAACCUGCCUUUAUCUGGGGGAUAGCCUUUCGAAAGGAAGAUUAAUACCCCAUAAUAUAAUGAAUGGCAUCAUUUAUUAUUGAAAACUCCGGUGGAUAGAGAUGGGCACGCGCAAGAUCAGAUAGUUGGUGAGGUAACGGCUCACCAAGUCGAUGAUCUUUAGGGGGCCUGAGAGGGUGAUCCCCCACACUGGUACUGAGACACGGACCAGACUCCUACGGGAGGCAGCAGUGAGGAAUAUUGGACAAUGGGUUAGCGCCUGAUCCAGCCAUCCCGCGUGAAGGACGACGGCCCUAUGGGUUGUAAACUUCUUUUGUACAGGGAUAAACCUACUCUCGUGAGAGUAGCUGAAGGUACUGUACGAAUAAGCACCGGCUAACUCCGUGCCAGCAGCCGCAGUAA
Molecule: ribosomal RNA, 495 nt
Filed under: uncultured bacterium
Lineage: Bacteria
Description: partial 16S ribosomal RNA
Rfam family: Bacterial small subunit ribosomal RNA
Source: RNAcentral